UAAACUGGGAUUAGAUACCCCACUAUGCCCAGCCCUAAACUUAGAUAGCAAAAUACCACCUAUCCGCCAGAGAACUACAAGCAAAAUACUUAAAACUCAAAGGACUUGGCGGCAUUCCAUAUCAACCUAGAGGAGCCCGUCCAAUAAUCGAUAAUACGCGCUCAACCCAACCAUUUUUGGCCACUCCAGCCUAUAUACCGCCGUCGUCAGCUAACCUUAUGAAAGAAAAGAAGUAAGCACAAUAGCCCUCGCUAAAACGUCAGGUCAAGGUGUAGCUAAUAAAAUGGAUGUGAUAGGCUACAUUUUCUAUUAUAGAAAAUAACGGAAAAUACAAUGAAACCUUGUAAUAGAAGGUGAAUUUAGAAGUAAAUUAAGAAAGUAUCCUUAUUUUAACCUCGCUCUGGAAUGCGCACACACCGCCGUCACCC
Molecule: ribosomal RNA, 428 nt
Filed under: Cordylus machadoi
Lineage: Eukaryota; Metazoa; Chordata; Lepidosauria; Squamata; Cordylidae
Description: partial 12S ribosomal RNA
Rfam family: Bacterial small subunit ribosomal RNA
Source: RNAcentral